This 505-nucleotide ribosomal RNA is filed under the name uncultured bacterium. RNAcentral's name for it is "bacterial SSU rRNA". It matches the Rfam family "Bacterial small subunit ribosomal RNA", at positions 9 to 528 of the family's 1533-position model. The record is from RNAcentral.
GGCGAGUUUGAUCAUGGCUCAGGACGAACGCUGGCGGCGUGCCUAACACAUGCAAGUCGAGCGAGUGGAGUUCUUCGGAACAAAGCUAGCGGCGGACGGGUGAGUAACACGUGGGCAACCUGCCUCAUAGAGGGGAAUAGCCUCCCGAAAGGGAGAUUAAUACCGCAUAAGAUUGUAGCUUCGCAUGAAGUAGCAAUUAAAGGAGCAAUCCGCUAUGAGAUGGGCCCGCGGCGCAUUAGCUAGUUGGUGAGGUAACGGCUCACCAAGGCGACGAUGCGUAGCCGACCUGAGAGGGUGAUCGGCCACAUUGGGACUGAGACACGGCCCAGACUCCUACGGGAGGCAGCAGUGGGGAAUAUUGCACAAUGGGGGAAACCCUGAUGCAGCAACGCCGCGUGAGUGAUGACGGCCUUCGGGUUGUAAAGCUCUGUCUUCAGGGACGAUAAUGACGGUACCUGAGGAGGAAGCCACGGCUAACUACGUGCCAGCAGCCGCGGUAAUAAGU